AGAACAGUAAUCAAAGAAGUGUCGAAGAAAGAAAAGAAGAGUAUAACAGGGCACGAGCACGAAUAUUUAGUAGUAGCUCUAGUGGUGGUUAUGUGGGAAAAUCAGAAGUUGAACCAACAUUAACGGACAGUUUUCAACACCACUCUUUGGUUUCUACAAGGCAAGAUGGAAGAAGUGCAAACGAGCCAUCUGAAAUGUAUAGUGAAAGGGUUUUGAGUGAU
This 221-nucleotide unclassified non-coding RNA is filed under the name Hevea brasiliensis (rubber tree). Lineage: Eukaryota; Viridiplantae; Streptophyta; Magnoliopsida; Malpighiales; Euphorbiaceae. The record is from RNAcentral.